CUGCAUGGAAGUCAUUGAGCCGCCAGGAUCUCCUCUCUGCUCUAACCAUGGAGGCUGCCUCAGUUCCCUCCUUACCCCAAUGAACAUUGUUCUGCAUCCUCCCCAUCCCACCUCCCAACGCCCACACUCUGGGCUCCCGUUAUUUAGCAAACCGUGGUCUCCAAAAGGGCAGCUCUGGGAACUCUUCCAAAUCUGGGCCUGCUUGUGUACCUUUGUGUUUUCCUUAACAAACUUCCUAGAGGGAGGAAGAUAAUCUCACUGUGUGGAUUUACUGAUCUAUCAUGGAGUGUCAUCUUGGUCUAUACCUGGCUGGGGGAAGGGGCAGCAACCCAGCUCCCAAGUCUCUCUCCACCGCCCCCCUCUCUGGGCUUUUGGCUCUGAAGAUUUGCAGAGAACAAGACUUUGGUCUGGCUUAUGUCUGUGCGUGGGACAGAACCUGGGACAUGGGAGCCUCAGGCAUGGCAGACAGUCCUUUUGCAUAACCAUUAUGCUGUCUCCCCAGUCACAUCUUGACGGUGAGACUCUUGGUAGACCAUCCAUGAUCCAUUAGAGUGAGUCUCUCCUUGGAGACCUGUGUGGAGUCUGUGGGUCUCCUCUCCGCAGGACCAGAAGCCGUGCUCCUCACCCCCAGGUCACAAGAAGCCCCCGAGGAUGUCCUUUCUCUGAAGGGAGAGUGGAGGGGCAGUAGGGCCUGAGAACAGGCUCUCUCAUGAAGAGCAGUCCUGCCCCAGCAGCAGCACCCCACUCCAACCAGUGCUAGCUCUGAGACGCCCUGUGGCUGAGCUUGUACACCAGCUGCUGUGGAGAGGCCAGUGGAGACAGAAGCAAUACUCACAGCAGAUUCUGCUUCUCCAGACAACCACACAGUGACACUAGGUGAGAUUUGUAUAGCUGUGAGAGCCCAUAACUGGAGCACUGGGCUUCCAGACUCACCCACCCCCAACUCCCCACCUCCUUAGAAGUGCAAACAGGAAGCCCAAGGUCAGGACUGGGUGGUGGUGCACCUGGUUAAGUGCACAUAUCACCAUGCUCAAGGACCAGGGUUCAAGUCUCUACUCCCCACCUGCAGAGGCAACUUUUUUUUUUUGGAGGGGGGCUCCAGGGUUAUCACUGGGGGCCCUGUGCCUGCACUACAAAUCCACUGCUCCUGGAGGCUAUUUAUUCCCUUUUUGUUGCCCUUGUUGUUUACUGUCAUUGUUGAUAUUGCUGUUGUUGGAUAGGACAGAGAGAAAUCGAGAAAGAUGAGGAAGAUUGCAGAGGGGAAAGACACCUGCAGUCCUGCUUCUCCGCUUGUGAAGCGACCCCCCUGCAGGGUCUUUGCACUGGUCCUUGGGCUUCGUGCCAUGUGCGCUUAACCCGGUGGGCUACCACCCGGCCCCCAGGGAACACUUCUUAAGCUGUGAAGGUCUGCAGGUGUCUUUCUCUCCCUAUCUCCUCUUCCUUCUCAAUUUCUGUCCUGCACCAAGCCCCAACAGUAACCCUGGUGCCAGCAACAACAAAAAAGCACUUAUUAUAUAUGAUAGUUCUGUUGUUUUAUUUUUGAGCUGACUUUAAAAAAAAAAAAAAUUUAUACAAAGGAAACACUGACAAAGACCAUAGGAUAAGAGGGGUACAAUUCCACACAAUUCCCACCUCCAGAACUCCAUGUCCCAUCCCCUCCCGAUAGCCUUCCUAUUCCUCUGGGAGUACAGACGCAGGGUCAUUGUGGGGUACAGAAGGUGGAAGGUCUGGCUUCUGUAACUGCUUCCCCGCCGAAUACGGGUGUUGGCAGGUCGAUCCCUACUCCCAUUCUAGAGACAGUUUUACAAGAGCUAGAGUUAUAUGGAGAGAAAGAACAUGAACCCUGAGCACCAUUCUGGAGACAGUUUUACAAGAGCUAGAGCUAUAUGGAGAGACAGAACAUGAACCCAGAGCACCAUUCUGGAGAGUUUUACAAGAGCUAGAGCUAUAUGGAGAGACAGAACAUGAACCCAGAGCACCAUUCUGGAGAGUUUUACAAGAGCUAGAGCUAUAUGGAGAGAAAGAACAUGAACCCAGAGCACCAUUCUGGAGACAGUUUUACAAGAGCUAGAGCUAUAUGGAGAGAAAGAACAUGAACCCAGAGCACCAUUCUGGAGACAGUUUUACAAGAGCUAGAGCUAUAUGGAGAGACAGAACAUGAACCCAGAGCACCAUUCUGGAGAGUUUUACAAGAGCUAGAGCUAUAUGGAGAGACAGAACAUGAACCCAGAGCACCAUUCUGGAGAGUUUUACAAGAGCUAGAGCUAUAUGGAGAGAAAGAACAUGAACCCAGAGCACCAUUCUGGUACAUGCAGUGCCAGGGAUUUGGGCACUCGAGUCUAGCGUUCAACCAGUUAACUAUUUCUCCAGCCUCCAGUUUUAGCAUAUUAAUCGUUGGCAGACGAGGGACAACCCUGUUUCUCAGUUUUUUAUUUCCAUGAUUUAUUUUUUGCCUGCAGGUGGGGAGCCGGGGACUCGAACCGGGAUCCUGCUGGUCCUUGUGCUUCAUGCCAUGUCGCUUAACUCACUGUGUUAC
Erinaceus europaeus (western European hedgehog) is the source of this 2536-nucleotide long non-coding RNA. RefSeq lists it as uncharacterized. The record is from RefSeq and is a predicted model, not a curated record. The transcript has 3 exons. Lineage: Eukaryota; Metazoa; Chordata; Mammalia; Eulipotyphla; Erinaceidae.